UAAAAUGAGAGUUUGAUCCUGGCUCAGGACGAACGCUGGCGGCGUGCCUAAUACAUGCAAGUCGAACGAAACUUUCUUACACCGAAUGCUUGCAUUCACCGUAAGAAGUUGAGUGGCGGACGGGUGAGUAACACGUGGGUAACCUGCCUAAAAGAAGGGGAUAACACUUGGAAACAGGUGCUAAUACCGUAUAUCUCUAAGGAUCGCAUGAUCCUUAGAUGAAAGAUGGUUCUGCUAUCGCUUUUAGAUGGACCCGCGGCGUAUUAACUAGUUGGUGGGGUAACGGCCUACCAAGGUGAUGAUACGUAGCCGAACUGAGAGGUUGAUCGGCCACAUUGGGACUGAGACACGGCCCAAACUCCUACGGGAGGCAGCAGUAGGGAAUCUUCCACAAUGGACGCAAGUCUGAUGGAGCAACGCCGCGUGAGUGAAGAAGGUCUUCGGAUCGUAAAACUCUGUUGUUAGAGAAGAACACGAGUGAGAGUAACUGUUCAUUCGAUGACGGUAUCUAACCAGCAAGUCACGGCUAACUACGUGCCAGCAGCCGCGGUAAUACGUAGGUGGCAAGCGUUGUCCGGAUUUAUUGGGCGUAAAGGGAACGCGGGCGGUCUUUUAAGUCUGAUGUGAAAGCCUUCGGCUUAACCGGAGUAGUGCAUUGGAAACUGGAAGACUUGAGUGCAGAAGAGGAGAGUGGAACUCCAUGUGUAGCGGUGAAAUGCGUAGAUAUAUGGAAGAACACCAGUGGCGAAAGCGGCUCUCUGGUCUGUAACUGACGCUGAGGUUCGAAAGCGUGGGUAGCAAACAGGAUUAGAUACCCUGGUAGUCCACGCCGUAAACGAUGAAUGCUAGGUGUUGGAGGGUUUCCGCCCUUCAGUGCCGCAGCUAACGCAAUAAGCAUUCCGCCUGGGGAGUACGACCGCAAGGUUGAAACUCAAAGGAAUUGACGGUGGCCCGCACAAGCGCUGGAGCAUGUGGUUUAAUUCGAAGCAACUCGAAGAACCUUACCAGGUCUUUACAUCCUUUGAUCACCUAAGAGAUUAGGAUUUUCUUUCGGGGACAAAGUGACAGGUGGUGCAUGGCUGUCGUCAGCUCGUGUCGUGAGAUGUUGGGUUAAGUCCCGCAACGAGCGCAACCCUUGUUGUCAGUUGCCAGCAUUAAGUUGGGCACUCUGGCGAGACUGCCGGUGACAAACCGGAGGAAGGUGGGGACGACGUCAAGUCAUCAUGCCCCUUAUGACCUGGGCUACACACGUGCUACAAUGGACGGUACAACGAGUCGCAAGACCGCGAGGUUUAGCUAAUCUCUUAAAGCCGUUCUCAGUUCGGAUUGUAGGCUGCAACUCGCCUACAUGAAGUCGGAAUCGCUAGUAAUCGCGAAUCAGCAUGUCGCGGUGAAUACGUUCCCGGGCCUUGUACACACCGCCCGUCACACCAUGAGAGUUUGUAACACCCAAAGCCGGUGGGGUAACCGCAAGGAGCCAGCCGUCUAAGGUGGGACAGAUGAUUGGGGUGAAGUCGUAACAAGGUAGCCGUAGGAGAACCUGCGGCUGGAUCACCUCCUUU
This 1562-nucleotide ribosomal RNA is filed under the name Ligilactobacillus salivarius. RNAcentral describes it as "bacterial SSU rRNA". It matches the Rfam family "Bacterial small subunit ribosomal RNA". Lineage: Bacteria; Bacillati; Bacillota; Bacilli; Lactobacillales; Lactobacillaceae. The record is from RNAcentral.